AGUGAACGCUGGCGGUAGGCCUAACACAUGCAAGUCGAACGGCAGCACAGUAAGAGCUUGCUCUUACGGGUGGCGAGUGGCGGACGGGUGAGGAAUACAUCGGACUCUACUUUUUCGUGGGGGAUAACGUAGGGAAACUUACGCUAAUACCGCAUACGCCCUACGGGUGAAAGCAGGGGAUCUUCGCACCUUGCGCGAUUGAAUGAGCCGAUGUCGGAUUAGCUAGUUGGCGGGGUAAAGGCCCACCAAGGCGACGAUCCGUAGCUGGUCUGAGAGGAUGAUCAGCCACACUGGAGCUGAGACACGGUCCAGACUCCGACGGGAGGCAGCAGCGGGGAAUAUUGGACAAUGUGCGCAAGCCUGAACCAGCCAUACCGCGUGGGUGAAGAGGCCUUCGGGUUGUAAAGCCCUUUUGUUGGGAAAGAAAAGCAGCAGGUUAAUACCCCGCUGUUCUGACGGUACCCAAAGAAUAAGCACCGGCUAACUUCGUG
Molecule: ribosomal RNA, 491 nt
Filed under: uncultured bacterium
Lineage: Bacteria
Description: partial 16S ribosomal RNA
Rfam family: Bacterial small subunit ribosomal RNA
Source: RNAcentral